Molecule: ribosomal RNA, 976 nt
Filed under: mouse gut metagenome
Description: bacterial LSU rRNA
Rfam family: Bacterial large subunit ribosomal RNA
Source: RNAcentral
CCUAAGGUAGCGAAAUUCCUUGUCAGGUAAGUUCUGACCCGCACGAAUGGCGUAAUGAUUUGGGCACUGUCUCGACAGCCCGCCCGGCGAAAUUGUAGUACUGGUGAAGAUGCCAGUUACCCGCAACUAGACGGAAAGACCCCAUGGAGCUUUACUGUAGCUUAAUACUGAAGAUCGGUAAUGCAUGUACAGGAUAGGUGGGAGACUGGGAAGCACGGGCGUCAGCUCGUGUGGAGUCAACCUUGGGAUACCACUCUUGUAUUGCUGGUUUUCUAACCUGCGGCCCUGAAUCGGGUCGGGGGACACUGUUAGGUGGGCAGUUUGACUGGGGCGGUCGCCUCCAAAAGAGUAACGGAGGCGCUCAAAGGUUCGUUCAGCACGGACGGAAAUCGUGCAGUGAGUGUAAACGCAUAAACGAGCCUAACUGCGAGACCGACGGGUCGAGCAGUAACGAAAGUUGGAGUUAGUGAUCCGGUGGUAUGUGAGUGGAAAUGCCAUCGCUCAACGGAUAAAAGCUACCCUGGGGAUAACAGGCUGAUCUCCCCCAAGCGUCCACAGCGACGGGGAGGUUUGGCACCUCGAUGUCGGCUCGUCGCAUCCUGGGGCUGAAUUCGGUCCCAAGGGUUUGGCUGUUCGCCAAUUAAAGCGGCACGCGAGCUGGGUUCAGAACGUCGUGAGACAGUUCGGUCCCUAUCUGUUGCGGGCGUAAGAGAUUUGAAGGGAGCUGUCCUUAGUACGAGAGGACCGGGAUGGACGUACCUCUGGUGCACCAGUUGUCGUGCCAACGGCACAGCUGGGUAGCUAUGUACGGACGGGAUAAACGCUGAAGGCAUCUAAGCGUGAAGCCCCCCCUAAGAUGAGAUCUCUCAUCCUUUAUGGAGUAAGGGCCCAGGAAGACUACCUGGUUGAUAGGCAGGAGGUGGAAGCGCAGUAAUGUGUGCAGCUGACCUGUACUAAUCGCCCGAGGGCUUGACCU